Long non-coding RNA from Topomyia yanbarensis, 669 nucleotides. RefSeq lists it as uncharacterized. Lineage: Eukaryota; Metazoa; Arthropoda; Insecta; Diptera; Culicidae. The transcript has 2 exons. The record is from RefSeq and is a predicted model, not a curated record.
UCGGUGUGCUUGUUUGCCUAAGACUUGUUUACACGGACUUUUAAAAUUUACAUUACUUGAAUACUUUCGAUGCUCUUUGAAAGAAUAUCAACUCAAGAGGGAUUGGGAUUGGAACAAUGGUAACCUGGUUCAUACAUUGACCAAUCGGCGCUGGAUGUAAAACCCGGUGGCAUAUGCUGAAUCGUAAGAUCAAGCAUUGGGCUAUAAAACGAUUGCUUUCUGGAUGAUGGAUAAGGAUUUGUACACAUUUGUGGUGAAGUUUACCUGAACUUUAUAGGUAACGAAUUCGGUCGAUGAUAAGUUGUUGAAAUGAUUUUGAUCGUUCAAUGCCCAUAUCGAAGAACGUUUCCAUUGGUCAGAAUGCCUACCAGCGUAUGAUAGCUGCAAACAUGAGGACAACAAGGUUAUCGCUUUCGAAUGGAACAAUUAUUUAUUAUUCGUGUUCAAGUUCCAUUACAGCAAAAGUUUCGUCGAUUAUCGCAUUGUCGUUGAUUUAGCCGGCAAAUGCAAAAUAGCGCUCGGCACUGACAAUAAGGAGUAAGAAGGAUUUGAUUGGAGUGAUAAUAAUAAUGCAGAGCAUUAUACAUUCUGGUAGAAUAUCAGAGAGGAGAAAUUAUAUGUAAAUUUAUAUUAUAUCCCGAGUAGCCAUCAUUUUGGCACCGCAAUAAA